Molecule: non-coding RNA, 23 nt
Filed under: Cricetulus griseus (Chinese hamster)
Lineage: Eukaryota; Metazoa; Chordata; Mammalia; Rodentia; Cricetidae
Source: RNAcentral
AUCAUGGUAGAAUCUCCUAGAGG